Molecule: ribosomal RNA, 301 nt
Filed under: uncultured bacterium
Lineage: Bacteria
Description: partial 16S ribosomal RNA
Rfam family: Bacterial small subunit ribosomal RNA
Source: RNAcentral
CAGUCGCCGCGGGAAUACGUAGGGUGCAAGCGUUAAUCGGAAUUACUGGGCGUAAAGCGUGCGCAGGCGGUUAUAUAAGUCAGAUGUGAAAUCCCCGGGCUCAACCUGGGAACUGCAUUUGAGACUGUAUGGCUAGAGUGUGUCAGAGGGGGGUAGAAUUCCACGUGUAGCAGUGAAAUGCGUAGAUAUGUGGAGGAAUACCGAUGGCGAAGGCAGCCCCCUGGGAUAACACUGACGCUCAUGCGCGAAAGCGUGGGGAGCAAACAGGAUUAGAUACCCCAGUAGUCCCUGUCUCUUAUAC